RNAcentral lists this small RNA (516 nucleotides) under Histoplasma capsulatum var. duboisii H88. Its description in RNAcentral is "Histoplasma capsulatum H88 hypothetical RNA". Lineage: Eukaryota; Fungi; Ascomycota; Eurotiomycetes; Onygenales; Ajellomycetaceae. The record is from RNAcentral.
ACUACGGAGUACACUGCACUGGGUUUCAUUUUCCUUACGUGCACCCGCUUGUUGCUAUGGAUCGAUAAGAUGAGGGGAAAUCCCGAACAGCAAGAGGAAGAGUCUUAUGAUAUACUCUCCGUAAAGUGCAUGGAAUAGUACAAUGCUAGCACGGCGCUACGAUAGCAGGCUCGGCUUAGUAGUUAGUACACGCAUAAUCUUUCUUGUCGAUCAGCAUGUAGUGCGCAAAUGGGGGCGAAGGAAGAUUGCCCUUUGCAGACAAGCGCGGGGGUUCGUUGUCCGAGAGGAAGAGCUCUGGCAGUUGGGGGCUCGGGAGUGAUAGUCCGCUCUUCGCUUGGAGCCAUGGCCAAGCGCUGAAAUGAGAAUCUUUCCGUCACAUUUUCCUGAGGCCACUAUGUUGGCUGGUGUGAAGUUCUUCGUCCCUCCGUUCCCAGAUAUCAACAAGGAAUAUCCCACAAACUGCGCCUACGAUGGGGCCAUAACCAGAUCAUACUGCGUACUGCGCAGCAGCCAGCG